AGAGUUUGAUCCUGGCUCAGGAUGAACGCUGGCGGCGUGCCUAACACAUGCAAGUCGAACGGGAAGCACACCUUCGGGUGUGUGGAGAGUGGCGAACGGGUGAGUAACACGUAGCUAAUCUGCCCUCAAGAGGAGGAUAACUAUCGGAAACGGUAGCUAAUACUCCAUAAGCUCCCGAUCAGUAGAGGAUUGAGAGAAAAGCUAAGGCGCUUGAGGAUGAGGCUGCGGACCAUCAGCUAGUUGGUGAGGUAACGGCUCACCAAGGCAACGACGGUUAGGGGGCCUGAGAGGGUGACCCCCCACACUGGAACUGAGACACGGUCCAGACUUCUACGGAAGGCAGCAGUGAGGAAUAUUGCACAAUGGGCGAAAGCCUGAUGCAGCGACGCCGCGUGGGCGAAGAAGGGCUUCGGCCUGUAAAGUCCUUUUCUGUGUGACGAGAGUGGACGGUAGCACAGGAAUAAGUCUCGGCUAACUACGUGCCAGCAGCCGCGGUAAAACGUAGGAGGCGAGCGUUAUCCGGAGUUACUGGGCGUAAAGCGCGUGCAGGCGGAUGGGUAAGUCACUUAUGAAAGCUCCCGGCUAAACUGGGAGAGGUUGAGUGAAACUGCCGAUCUAGAGUGGAGGAGAGGUUGACGGAAUUCCGCGUGUAGUGGUGAAAUGCGUA
RNAcentral lists this ribosomal RNA (667 nucleotides) under uncultured bacterium. Its description in RNAcentral is "bacterial SSU rRNA". It matches the Rfam family "Bacterial small subunit ribosomal RNA", at positions 8 to 692 of the family's 1533-position model. The record is from RNAcentral.